CCCACUCCCGGCACGGGGAGGUAGUGACGAAAAAUAACGAUACGGGACUCAUCCGAGGCCCCGUAAUCGGAAUGAGUACACUCUAAACCCUUUAACGAGUAUCCAUUGGAGGGCAAGUCUGGUGCCAGCAGCCGCGGUAAUUCCAGCUCCAAUAGCGUAUAUUAAAGUUGUUGCGGUUAAAAAGCUCGUAGUUGGACUUGUGUCCCACGCUGUCGGUUCACCGUUCGUCGGUGUUUAACUGGCAUGCCCGUGCGGACGUCCUGCCGGUGGAUGCGGUCGGCCGUGGGCCUCUGGUCUGCGUGUCGGCGGUCCGAUGCAAUCCUACCGCGGUGCUCUUCACCGAGUGUCGAGGUGGGCCGGCACGUUUACUUUGAACAAAUUAGAGUGCUCAAAGCAGGCAGUGGUUCGCCUGAAUAUUGUGUGCAUGGAAUAAUGGAAUAGGACCUCGGUUCUAUUUUGUUGGUUUUCGGAACCUGAGGUAAUGAUUAAUAGGGACAGACGGGGGCAUUCGUAUUGCGACGUUAGAGGUGAAAUUCUUGGAUCGUCGCAAGACGAACCUAAGCGAAAGCAUUUGCCAUGAGUGUUUUCAUUAAUCAAGAACGAAAGUUAGAGGUUCGAAGGCGAUCAGAUACCGCCCUAGUUCUAACCAUAAACGAUGCCAGCUAGCGAUCCGCCGAAGUUCCUCCGAUGACUCGGCGGGCAGCUUCCGGGAAACCAAAGCUUUUGGGUUCCGGGGGAAGUAUGGUUGCAAAGCUGAAACUUAAAGGAAUUGACGGAAGGGCACCACCAGGAGUGGAGCCUGCGGCUUAAUUUGACUCAACACGGGAAACCUCACCAGGCCCGGACACCGGAAGGAUUGACAGAUUGAUAGCUCUUUCUUGAUUCGGUGGGUGGUGGUGCAUGG
Molecule: ribosomal RNA, 904 nt
Filed under: Candovia sp. G AC-2020
Lineage: Eukaryota; Metazoa; Arthropoda; Insecta; Phasmatodea; Lonchodidae
Description: SSU rRNA
Rfam family: Eukaryotic small subunit ribosomal RNA
Source: RNAcentral